GAUCCCGUAGCUCAGUCGGUAGAGCACUUGACUUUUAAUCAAGGUGUCAUGGGUUCGAGUCCCAUCGGGAUCA
This 73-nucleotide transfer RNA is filed under the name Bacteroidota bacterium. Its description in RNAcentral is "Bacteroidetes bacterium (sediment metagenome) tRNA-Lys". It matches the Rfam family "tRNA". From Rfam's summary of the family: Transfer RNA (tRNA) molecules are approximately 80 nucleotides in length. Their secondary structure includes four short double-helical elements and three loops (D, anti-codon, and T loops). RNAcentral also lists the same sequence under 1 other name. Lineage: Bacteria; Pseudomonadati; Bacteroidota. The record is from RNAcentral.